AGUUGGCUGUGCAAAGUCUCAUAAAGACUUGAAGUAGCACAACUUUUUGAGUUAAUUAUGAAUACUCCUAUAUUCACAAAGCAUAUAUAUAUAUAUAUAUAAUGCUACAGUGAAAGAUAGAGUUGGAGUGAUGGGCAGAAGCCUCAUUCAUUUGUGUCUUUGUUUAAAGAAACAAUUUAUUACUAGUAUGAUAUUGUAAGUUCUUUGGAUACAAGAAUUGUAUUUUAUACGUAUUUUACCUUUACAAUGCUAAACACAGGGUCCUGGGCAGAAGGAGGCUCAUCCAGAUCAAAAUCAGCUUGCCUAUCAAUGCUGUGAAGAGAUCUACUUAUUACAUGAAUACAAAUCAAAGGGUAUAGGAAGGCAAGAGGAGUCAUUUGGCUCAAUUAAAUGGAAAACCAAACUGAGAACACUUAAACAGAGACAAAUACAGUCAUCCAUUCAAUCUGCUUUUAUUCCAGAAGACAUUUAA
RNAcentral lists this long non-coding RNA (472 nucleotides) under Callithrix jacchus (white-tufted-ear marmoset). RNAcentral's name for it is "lncRNA (ENSCJAG00000074337.1)". Lineage: Eukaryota; Metazoa; Chordata; Mammalia; Primates; Cebidae. The record is from RNAcentral.